This 29-nucleotide non-coding RNA is filed under the name Drosophila melanogaster (fruit fly). RNAcentral also lists the same sequence under 6 other names. The record is from RNAcentral. Lineage: Eukaryota; Metazoa; Arthropoda; Insecta; Diptera; Drosophilidae.
UUUUACUAAAGAUUUCCGUGGAGAGGAAC